RNAcentral lists this long non-coding RNA (526 nucleotides) under Monodelphis domestica (gray short-tailed opossum). RNAcentral's name for it is "lncRNA (ENSMODG00000048770.1)". Lineage: Eukaryota; Metazoa; Chordata; Mammalia; Didelphimorphia; Didelphidae. The record is from RNAcentral.
CCUGUGAAGAAUGGAUUUGGCUCUCCCCUGAUUGGAACAAUGAAGGACAAAUCACUGCUUCACCCAUUCUUCUGUGGACUCUGCUGCUCCAGUAUUGGUUCUGAGUAAUUUUUAGCUUGCCCUCAAGUCCAAGCACCUCCCAGGUUAAUGAAGAAUUGACCUCUGGCUAUCCUGCCUGUGAUGAGAAAACAUUUAUCUUUUGUAAAAGCUUUGUGUUUGUUGUCAGAAUCUAUAGCAACAUGGAUAACAGGACCUGUCAGUGGAAGAGGACAAGUCUCCACAUGUAGACUCUACCCACCUGUCUUCCCCAAGCCUGUAGACCACAUUUUAUGGGAAACAGGGAAAAGAUUGAACAGCAGUUUCAAACUGAGGAUACUAUCAAUAUUCAUUACAUUUUUAUGUAUUCCUUAACUAUGUAAUAUGUAUAACAUUUUACUAACUUUUCAUUAUAUAUCCUUGUUUUUAUUUGCUACUUAAGAUGUUUUUGAAUUUUAUGUACAAGUAUUUUUCCCUAUUACCUCUUUGG